Mycena albidolilacea is the source of this 104-nucleotide non-coding RNA. The record is from the annotation of a GenBank genome assembly. NCBI's taxonomy places the organism in Eukaryota, Fungi, Basidiomycota, Agaricomycetes, Agaricales, Mycenaceae.
UCCGAAUUGGUGUAGGGGUUAACAUUGCCGCCUCUCACGAAAUUUAGGUUUACAUAAACCCAAUGGGUGCGCGGCAGCCCGGGGUUCGAUUCCCCGAUUCGGAA